Molecule: ribosomal RNA, 468 nt
Filed under: uncultured bacterium
Lineage: Bacteria
Description: partial 16S ribosomal RNA
Rfam family: Bacterial small subunit ribosomal RNA
Source: RNAcentral
GACGAACGCUGGCGGCGUGCUUAACACAUGCAAGUCGAACGGUGAUGCUCCAGCUUGCUGGCGUGGAUCAGUGGCGAACGGGUGAGUAACACGUGAGCAACCUGCCCCAGACUCUGGAAUAAGCGCUGGAAACGGCGUCUAAUACUGGAUACGAAACUGGCCCGCAUGGGCAUGGUUUGGAAAGUUUUUCGGUUUGGGAUGGGCUCGCGGCCUAUCAGCUUGUUGGUGAGGUAAUGGCUCACCAAGGCGACGACGGGUAGCCGGCCUGAGGGGGCGACCGGCCACACUGGGACUGAGACACGGCCCAGACUCCUACGGGAGGCAGCAGUGGGGAAUAUUGCACAAUGGGCGAAAGCCUGAUGCAGCGACGCCGCGUGAGGGAUGACGGCCUUCGGGGUGUAAACCUCUUUCAGCAGGGAAGAAGCGAAAGUGACGGUACCUGCAGAAGAAGCACCGGCUAACUACGUG